Scophthalmus maximus (turbot) is the source of this 2374-nucleotide long non-coding RNA. RefSeq lists it as uncharacterized. The record is from RefSeq and is a predicted model, not a curated record. NCBI's taxonomy places the organism in Eukaryota, Metazoa, Chordata, Actinopteri, Pleuronectiformes, Scophthalmidae. The transcript is spliced from 3 exons.
AGCUAGUAAACAGUGUGAAUCUAAUUAAAAGAUAAUGUUAGCCAUUUUGUCACACAUGUUCCCCCUGCUAUGGGCCUAUCUUCUAGUCCGGGGGCUCUCUAUCGAGGUUUAAGGCUAUUGCUCUCUACUCGCAGGCUGUAUCUUUAGUUACUCUGCUACAGUAUCUCCACUUCCUCACCCUGGACUGCAUCUUCCUGACUUGGUGGUAUUUGUGCCGGCCAUCAGGCUUUACUGUGCUGACCCAGUAUUUCUCUCUCUCUCUCUCUCUCACGAGGAUCAAAUUUCCUUUUUAGUUUCUCAUACUGCAGGAGUUUCAAAAUAUUCCACAGCAAGCAAAUGGGAACUAGAAUCACAAAACAGAUAAGCAUGUGGGAUUAUAUAUGACGACAUACUGUAGGUCUGAUGAGCUUUGGAGCAUUGAUUUUCUCUGUGAAAAUAAUUACAUUCUGUGGUUUUUUUUUCUUCCAACUCUUCCUCAAUAUGGAAACCAGUAAGAGAAACACAGUACAUAAAAGUGUGUGUCUGGAAAGCCUGUGCUUUGCGCCGCACUCUAUACGCCUCCAGACUUCCAUUCUCUUUGAGGAUGGCUAGACUUUACGCAAACAUGUCUUGCACGGGGGGAUGAUAUUUCUGACAGGAGAAUUGACCAGCCCUAUCUCCAGAGCAGCAACUGCACAUUCAGAAUGAACACCACCCCACAAACCGGCCGCUGGAGGGGAACUUGAAAGAACAGGAGGGAGCGCACUGACGCACCUCUGAAGAUGGUUCAGCAUCGACCACUGACAGCCGACUUCAAAGGCCCAGUUAUGAACAUGACAGGCAGCCAGCGCAACAGCCUUUGAAACCAGUGCACAUUUUUAUCAAGAAUUUAUGCUCUAUUUAGAAGUGAUUUCUUUUUUCUUUCUCUCUUUUUUAAAAUGUUUUUUUUGCAGCACCGGGAAUUUGAUUUGACUGUACAUCUCAUCGCUGACACGGUAAACAAAGUUCAUUCCUGAAAUUGUCAUUCUGGAUGCUUGUUUCGGAAGCAGAAAAAAAAAAUACAACCAAGAGUCACCAGUUACGCUAACCUGCAUGUCUUUGGUCUGUGGGAAGAAGCACCUGGAGGACACCAACGCAGACACGGGGAGAACACGCAAACUCUGGUUUUAUCCAAGAAUGUUCUGGCGGUAAGGUGAGAGUGCUAACCACUGCAUCGCCCUGCAGCAUUACAUAUUUUGUCCAUGUCUUCAUGAAUUUAUAAUGCACUUGCACAGAGACAGGCUCGGCCAGAGGCAUUAACAUUUUGGGGUUGUCCUCCUGUCCAUCCAAAUAUCUUUCCUUCUGUCCUCGCAGGAACGCCUCGCUAAAUUUAAUCAAAGCUUGGUACAAAUGUCCACUUGGAGUCAAGGAUGAGCGGUAAGAAUUUGGUGGUCAAAGGUCAACGUGCCCUCCCUAUGUUUUUGUCCAUAACUCAAGAAUGAAUUAGCUAAUUAUGAUCAAAUACACUUCAUAGCUUUUCAUUUGAAUCCUUCAAAGUCUUUACCACAAGUAUUAUAUGAAUCAGGACAGAAAUGAUUGUAAACUACAACUUGAUUUUUUGAUGGAGGCAUAGACCAAUGAAUUCAAGUUUGUAUGUACAAUGUGGAUACUGCUACAACAGAGGUUUUACUAAAUAUGUAUGUAUUAUGAUCUUUUAUCAUUUGCCUUUAAAAAGGUCACCUGCACAAAAACAGGGCCCGUCACAGCCCUAAUCAUGCCAUGUUUCAUAAGGCAUAAAUACCGGGUGCAGUUUUCCGAGAGACAACAGCUACUACUGACUAACUCAUAAUUUCCCUCUCUGUCAUCUUUGUGAAAAGUGUGGUAUCUAUGUAAUUUUGUUGAUGCAGUGCAAUAAUAAAAAAGUAAUAAACAUAUCUUUAAAUAUUGUUGAUAAUAUGAGGGGAGAAUGAAGUCGUUACCAGAGAUUGAUAGCAGUGGGUUGCUACUUUUAAAUGUUGCAUUAUAAAUAUCCUCAAAACUGCUCAAAAGUUGCUUAUGUGUUGGCUUAGCAUUGUGGAAAGCCACUCCUCAAGUGAGUGUGCCUGAAGAGGUAUGAAAUUAAUUUCAUACCUUUUUUCGCCUCCCUCAUUUGCCCAGCAUUUUUUAGCUGGUCUCCUCCGCUCAAGCUAUGUGUCUCACCAUUACAGUGCUAAUCCACCCUUGACAAUGUUCAAUUUCCUUCGGGGAAUAUGGAGUGCGGUGGUGAAGAUUUGCAACCCUGUGGCCCAUCUAAGUAGUAUGAACGACAGUGCCUACAUCACACAGAGCCUGAACGUCUUCUGAAAAGAAAAAAACUCAUUUGAACUGAGUGGUCAGAUUUGGGAAUGCAAUCUCCUAUUACCUACAGAUUUUUGGA